Long non-coding RNA from Salvia miltiorrhiza (redroot sage), 950 nucleotides. RefSeq lists it as uncharacterized. Lineage: Eukaryota; Viridiplantae; Streptophyta; Magnoliopsida; Lamiales; Lamiaceae. The transcript has 4 exons. The record is from RefSeq and is a predicted model, not a curated record.
UCUCACUUCCUACUAACCUAAUUGUAAUUCCCGCCAAAGAGGAUCCCAUCUCCACCUUCACCUUUUGCAGCUAGGGAUUAAAACCCUGGAGCCGCCCGCCGCUGAGCACUCUAGCGUCGCCCGCUGCUCUGCACCCUAGCGGCGCUGCCCACCGCUCUUCUCCAUCAGCCGCGACACGCCGCUCUGCACCCUAGCGCCGCCGCACGCUGCUCUGCUCCAUAUGUCGCCGCUCGCCGCUCUGCUCCAUCAGCCGCUGCACGCCUCCGCCAAAAUCGUAUCGUUUUCCUUCCAACCCCUCCGUUCCAGACCCGCUACAGGGUGAUUUUCCAGAAGUGAUAGAGGAGUAUUUGGAGUAUAUCAGUUAUGAAAUAUCGCCUUUAAUCGCCGUGGAAACUUUCUUGCUGGACUUGAAGUAUGAGGAAAACUCAGUUAAGGAAGUGCACUGGCUGGACGACAUGGUUGCGAAUGCCUUAAUACAUGUUGAUUUUGGCCUAAAGUACAUGCUUGCCUUAAUACAUGUUGAUAUUGAUGCGCAGGAUUUGGGAAUGACUUAGCUGUUGUUGAGUAUGUUGAGGAGAUUUACAAGUUCUAUAAGUCAGUUGAGGGCUGCUAGAAAUCCUUAUAACAGAAGCAAGAUUAUUGGAGGAUCUUCGAGUGGAUAGCCAGCAGUGGUAGCAGCUGGAUUAUGCCUUCUUGCACUUGGUGUUGAUCGGCAGCUGGAUUAAGCAGUGUAUCUCUGGAGUGGUCUCGAGGCGAGUGAAGGAUGCCCGGGUUAUUAAUAUUUCAUGGCAGACUUCCUUAGUUUUCUUUUUAUAUAUAUAUAGUUCCUUAGCUUCUUUAACAGAUCUAUUAGGGUGAUUUUGUCAUGUACAUUUGUGUUUUUGUGUUGAUAUAUGUCGGUUUUUUUUUUUUUGGUGAAAUAUGUCUUUUUAUUCUUGUUUUUGAGCCUU